RNAcentral lists this long non-coding RNA (2774 nucleotides) under Mytilus galloprovincialis (Mediterranean mussel). The record is from RNAcentral. Lineage: Eukaryota; Metazoa; Mollusca; Bivalvia; Mytilida; Mytilidae.
GAGAUGUCGGAACAACCAAUCAAACCUAAAUUACAACCUAUUGAUGGUCCAUAAAGCUCAAAUGACGAUAUUUUAGUGAACGAUAGCAGAGAUGACACAGAUGUGUCAAUAUAUAUAGGAAGAUGUGGUAUGAGUGCCAAUGAGACAACUCUCCAUCAACGUAAAAAUCUAUAAAAGUAAACCAUUAUAGGCCAAGGUACGGCCUUCAAUACGGAGCCUUGGCUCACACCGAACAGCACGCUAUAAAGGGCCCCAAAAAUAAUGCGGUUAAACAUGUUUGUGAGAUCUCAACCCUCCCCUAUACCUCUAGCGAAUGAAGAAAGUAAAGCAUAACAUACGCAAUAAAAUUAGUUCAAGAGAAGUCCGAGUCUGAUGUCAGAAGAUUGACUAGAGAAAUAAACAAAUGACAAUAAUACAUAAUAACCACAGAAAUAGAGUUAUCUGACAUGCAGCUCCAAGCUUCAUUAAACUGAUACUUUCACAUAAGUAGUAUCUACUUGUCAUCAAGAGAUGUCGGAACACCAUAAACCUAAUACAACCUAUUGAUGGUCCUAAAGCUCAAAUGACGAAUUUUAGCUGAAGAUAGAAGAUGACACAGUGUGUCAAUAUAUUGAAGAUGUGGUAUGAGUGCCAUGAGACAACUCUCCAUCAACGUAAAAUCUAUAAAGUAAACCUUAUAGCAAGGUCGGCCUUAAUACGGAGCCUUGGCUCACACGAACAGCAUGUAUAAAGGGCCCAACAAAUGCGGUUAACAUGUUUUGAGAUCUCAACCCUCCCCCUAUACCUCUAGCCAAUGAAGAAAAGUAAACGCAUAACAAUACGCACAUUAAAAUUCAGUUCAAGAAAAGUCCGAGUCUGAUGUCAGAAGAUGUGACUAAAGAAAAUAAACAAAACGACAAUAAUACAUAAAUAACAACAGACUACUAGCAGUUAACUGUCAUGCCAGCUCCAGACUUCAAUUAAACGGAUACUAUACACAUAGGUAGUAUAAUACUUGUCAUCAAGAGAUGGCGGAACGACCAAUCAAACCUAGAUUACAACCUAUUGCUGGUCCAUAAAGCUCAAGUGACGAUAUUUUAGUGAACGAUAGCAGAGAUGACACAGAUAUGUCAAUAUAUAUAGGAAGAUGUGGUAUGAGUGCCAAUGAGACAACUCUCCAUCAACGUAAAAAUCUAUAAAAGUAAACCAUUAUAGGCGAAGGUACGGCCUUCAAUACGGAGCCUUUGGCUCACAACGAACAGCAUGCUAUAAAGGGCCCCCAAAAAUAAUGGGUUAAACAUGUUUGUGAGAUCUGCAACCCUCCCUAUACCUCUAGCGAAGAAGAAAGUAAAGCAUAACAAUCGCACAUUGAAAAUUCAGUUCAAGAGAAGUCCGGUCUGAUGUCAGACCGAUGUGACUAACGAAAAUAACAAUGACAUAAUACAUAAAUAAAACAGACUACUAGCAGUUAUCUGACAUGCAGCUCCGAUUCAAUAACUGAUACUAUUACUAAGAAGUAUACUCUUGUCAUCAAGAGAUGUUCGGAACACAUCAAACUAAAUUACAACUAUUGCUGGUCAUAAAGCUCAAUGACGAUAUUUUUAGUGAACGAUAGCAGAGAUACACAGAUGGUCAAUAUAUAUAUAGGAAGAUGUGGUAUGAGUGCAAUGAGACAAUCUCAUCAACGUAAAAUUUAUAAAAGUAACCAUUAUAGCAGUAGGCCUUCAAUCGGAGCUUGCUCACGCGACGCACGCUAUAAAGGGCCCCCAAUAAUGCGGUUAACAUGUUUGUGAGAUCUCAACCCCCCUAUCCUCUAGCAAAUGAAGAAAGUAAACGCAUACAAUACAACAUUAAAAUCAGUUCAAGAAAUCAGUCUGAUGUCGAAGAUGUGACUAAGAAAAUAAACAAAAUGACAAAAACAAAAUAACAACAGACUACUAGCAGUUAUCUGACAUGCCAGCUCCAGACUUCAAUAAACUGAUACUAUUCACUAAGUAGUUACUACUGUCAUCAAGAGAUGUCGGAACACAAUCAAACUAAAUACACUAUUGAUGUCCAUAAAGCUCAAAGACGCUAUUUUAGUGAACGAUAGCGAGAUGACAGAGAUGUGUCAAUAUAUAUAGGAAGUGUGGUAUGAGUGCCAAUGAGACUCUCCAUCAACGUAAAAAUCUAUAAAAGUAACCAUAUAGCCAAGGUACGGCCUCAAUCGAGCCUGGCUCACACGAACAGCAUGCUAUAAGGGCCCCAAAAUAAGCGUUAACAUGUUUGUGAGAUCUCAACCCUCCCCCUAUACCUCUAGCCAAUGAAGAAAAGUAAACGCAUAACAAUACGCACAUUAAAAUUCAGUUCAAGAGAAGUCCGAGUCUGAUGUCAGAAGAUGUGACUAAAGAAAAUAAACAAAAUGACAAUAAUACAUAAAUAACAACAGACUACUAGCAGUUAACUGACAUGCCAGCUCCAGACUUCAAUUAAACUGAUACUAUACACAUAAGUAGUAUAAUACUUGUCAUCAAGAGAUGUCGGAACGACCAAUCAAACCUAAAUUACAACCUAUUGCUGGUCCAUAAAGCUCAAAUGACGAUAUUUUAGUGAACGAUAGCAGAGAUGACACAGAUGUGUCAAUAUAUAUAGGAAGAUGUGGUAUGAGUGCCAAUGAGACAACUCUCCAUCAACGUAAAAAUCUAUAAAAGUAAACCAUUAUAGGCCAAGGUACGGCCUUCAAUACGGAGCCUUGGCUCACACCGAACAGCACGCUAUAAAGGGCCCAAAAAAAUACUAAUGUUAAACCAUUUUAA